RNAcentral lists this ribosomal RNA (484 nucleotides) under uncultured bacterium. RNAcentral describes it as "partial 16S ribosomal RNA". It matches the Rfam family "Bacterial small subunit ribosomal RNA", at positions 30 to 507 of the family's 1533-position model. The record is from RNAcentral.
AUUGAACGCUGGCGGCAGGCCUAACACAUGCAAGUCGAGCGGAUGAAGGGAGCUUGCUCCUGGAUUCAGCGGCGGACGGGUGAGUAAUGCCUAGGAAUCUGCCUGGUAGUGGGGGAUAGCGUCCGGAAACGGGUGCUAAUACCGCAUACGUCCUGAGGGAGAAAGUGGGGGAUCUUCGGACCUCACGCUAUCAGAUGAGCCUAGGUCGGAUUAGCUAGUUGGUGGGGUAAAGGCCUACCAAGGCGACGAUCCGUAACUGGUCUGAGAGGAUGAUCAGUCACACUGGAACUGAGACACGGUCCAGACUCCUACGGGAGGCAGCAGUGGGGAAUAUUGGACAAUGGGCGAAAGCCUGAUCCAGCCAUGCCGCGUGUGUGAAGAAGGUCUUCGGAUUGUAAAGCACUUUAAGUUGGGAGGAAGGGCAGUAAGUUAAUACCUUGCUGUUUUGACGUUACCAACAGAAUAAGCACCGGCUAACUUCGUG